Molecule: non-coding RNA, 290 nt
Organism: Paramuricea clavata
Lineage: Eukaryota; Metazoa; Cnidaria; Anthozoa; Malacalcyonacea; Plexauridae
Source: the annotation of a GenBank genome assembly
UAAUGACCGCUCCCUAAGUCUCGGAAGAAAUAAUCAAUUAUGCACAAUUAUGUAUCAGGUAAAUAAUAAUAUGGUGCCUGAUCACUUCUCUUCGAUCUUAUUGUAUUAACUUAAUAAAUUAUUUUUAUAAUUGCAUGUAAUUAAUCAUAUAUAGCGCGGCCUAUUGGAAGAUCACAUAUUGCUUGUUUGCAAUCGACGACAUAUUGGUUGAUUUUCAAAAUACACGUGGCAACUAUAUAAAAUUCAUACUCCUCAUUCUUUGUCGUAUUGAGCCAAAGACCGUAAUAAAC